This 494-nucleotide ribosomal RNA is filed under the name uncultured bacterium. Its description in RNAcentral is "bacterial SSU rRNA". It matches the Rfam family "Bacterial small subunit ribosomal RNA", at positions 28 to 524 of the family's 1533-position model. The record is from RNAcentral.
GAUGAACGCUAGCGGCAGGCUUAACACAUGCAAGUCGAGGGGUAGAGGAAGCUUGCUUCCUUGAGACCGGCGCACGGUGCGUAACGCGUAUGCAAUCUACCUUAUACAGGGGGAUAGCCCAGAGAAAUUUGGAUUAAUACCCCAUAGUAUAAUUGAAUGGCAUCAUUUAAUUAUUAAAGUUCCAACGGUAUAAGAUGAGCAUGCGUCCAUUAGCUAGUUGGUGUGGUAACGGCACACCAAGGCGACGAUGGGUAGGGUCCUGAGAGGGAGAUCCCCCACACUGGUACUGAGACACGGACCAGACUCCUACGGGAGACAGCAGUGAGGAAUAUUGGUCAAUGGGCGCAAGCCUGAACCAGCCAUGCCGCGUGCAGGAUGACGGUCCUAUGGAUUGUAAACUGCUUUUGUACAGGAAGAAACACUCCCUCGUGAGGGAGCUUGACGGUACUGUAAGAAUAAGGAUCGGCUAACUCCGUGCCAGCAGCCGCGGUAAU